This is a long non-coding RNA of Haliotis rubra (blacklip abalone), 177 nucleotides long. RefSeq lists it as uncharacterized. The transcript has 3 exons. The record is from RefSeq and is a predicted model, not a curated record. NCBI's taxonomy places the organism in Eukaryota, Metazoa, Mollusca, Gastropoda, Lepetellida, Haliotidae.
UUUAGAAUAGAUCUUUGUAAAAUUUGUAAGGCAAAUUUGAAAUCAUCUCUACUCUGCGCACAUAUUUUCAGUUCAAUUUUCCGACCACUCUUUAACUAAUGACAUCGCAUUUACCAACUUACGUAUGGUUCCACAAUGCACAAUCCCAUAGGCCGCCAUCUUAAAUGAGUGCACGGC